ACGCGGCCACGCCGUAAAACACCCAACUUCUGAACGUUGACCUCGGAUCAGGUAGGACUACCCGCUGAACUUAAGCAUAUCAAUA
Molecule: ribosomal RNA, 85 nt
Filed under: Cordyceps javanica
Lineage: Eukaryota; Fungi; Ascomycota; Sordariomycetes; Hypocreales; Cordycipitaceae
Description: partial 28S ribosomal RNA
Source: RNAcentral